AACGAACGCUGGCGGCAUGCCUAAUACAUGCAAGUCGAACGAACACUUCGGUGUUAGUGGCGCACGGGUGCGUAACGCGUGGGAAUCUACCCUUGGGUUCGGAAUAACGUCUGGAAACGGACGCUACUACCGGAUGAUGACGUAAGUCCAAAGAUUUAUCGCCCAGGGAUGAGCCCGCGUAGGAUUAGCUAGUUGGUGAGGUAAAGGCUCACCAAGGCUGCGAUCCUUAGCUGGUCUGAGAGGAUGAUCAGCCACACUGGGACUGAGACACGGCCCAGACUCCUACGGGAGGCAGCAGUAGGGAAUAUUGGACAAUGGGCGAAAGCCUGAUCCAGCAAUGCCGCGUGAGCGAUGAAGGCCUUAGGGUUGUAAAGCUCUUUUACCCGGGAUGAUAAUGACAGUACCGGGAGAAUAAGCCCCGGCUAACUCCGUGCCAGCCGCCGCCGUAA
RNAcentral lists this ribosomal RNA (449 nucleotides) under uncultured bacterium. Its description in RNAcentral is "partial 16S ribosomal RNA". It matches the Rfam family "Bacterial small subunit ribosomal RNA", at positions 29 to 523 of the family's 1533-position model. The record is from RNAcentral.